Hyaena hyaena (striped hyena) is the source of this 333-nucleotide long non-coding RNA. RefSeq lists it as uncharacterized. The transcript has 3 exons. NCBI's taxonomy places the organism in Eukaryota, Metazoa, Chordata, Mammalia, Carnivora, Hyaenidae. The record is from RefSeq and is a predicted model, not a curated record.
AAGAGAAGUGUAUCAUGAAGGAGAAAUCCCAGGUUAUAGCUGUGGCUCCGUUAAUAUCUGUAGUCUGAAGAAGCCAGCUCAACUCUCUGGAUCUUGUCAGUGAAAUGAAAGAUAUCCAUGAAAUGAGAGAGACAAAUGCUUCUGUGGAGAAACUAAUUUCAGUUUCAAGCCUCAACUUAAAACUUGCCAAGCUCCAUGUAAUAGGUGUAUCCUAAAGAAAGUUGGAAGAGGAUAUUUACUGAAGAAGGAUUCAAAAUAAAGUGAAAUCUAUUUUCUGCUGUCCAUGAAUUCUUAUGUUUCUCUGAACCAUCAAUGCUCUGUUCUCAAUUAAAU